AGGGCACCACCAGGAGUGGAGCCUGCGGCUUAAUUUGACUCAACACGGGGAAACUCACCCGGCCCGGACACCGUAAGGAUUGACAGAUUGAGAGCUCUUUCUUGAUUCGGUGGGUGGUGGUGCAUGGCCGUUCUUAGUUGGUGGAGCGAUUUGUCUGGUUAAUUCCGAUAACGAACGAGACUCUAGCCUACUAAAUAGACAGUGAAUCGUUAGUUCACUGUACUUCUUAGAGGGACAAGCGGCGUCUAGCUGCACGAGAUUGAGCAAUAACAGGCCUGUGAUGCCCUUAGAUGUUCGGGGCUGCACGCGCGCUACACUGAAGGAAUCAACGUGCAUUACAACCUUAUCCGGAAGGAUUCGGUAACCCGUUGAAACUCCUUCGUGAUUGGGAUAGGGAAUUGCAAUUAUUUCCCUUGAACGAGGAAUUCCCAGUAAGUGCGGGUCAUCAGCUCGCGUUGAUUACGUCCCUGCCCUUUGUACACACCGCCCGUCGCUACUACCGAUUGGAUGAUUUAGUGA
Molecule: ribosomal RNA, 519 nt
Filed under: uncultured eukaryote
Lineage: Eukaryota
Description: SSU rRNA
Rfam family: Eukaryotic small subunit ribosomal RNA
Source: RNAcentral